AAUGCAUAUUGACCAUCUGCUGCAGUUUAAAGGCACCCAUGACAUUAAAUGCUAGGAUAUAUCAUUGGCCUCUGGCAAAUAAAUGGGCUCCGAGCGACAAGGCGCGUUUCAAGAUUUCACACUUUUAUUGGUGCUAAACAACAAGUUAUUGGAAGCUUAUUGAUUUCUUCUGUUCAAAGUAUCUUUGAUCUCUCAUUUGUACUAAUUUGUUUAUUUUCUUGGAUGAAAUUGGAUUUUCUUUGCUUUGAAAUUGACAUUUUUGGGGUGAUUAAAAAAAAAAACCCACAAAAUUGACAUUAUCAAAUUGCUUAGAGUGAAAAUAUCUAACAAAGUCAUUCUUUCACCACCCCGCAUAAGCCCCACGUGCAUGUCCAUUUGGUUUGUUUUGGUAUUUUGUUGCAGAUAUUGAACUUAGCACAUUUAAAUCUUAAAGGGACAUUUAAGCUUUAACAGGCCUAAAAUCGCCUUCUUUGGACCGAAAACACCCGCGUGUGAAAAUAUGAAAAAAAAUGGCCAAAUGGACAGAUAAUCCAGCCAAACUUAUUAUGUGUGUGCAAUAUGAAUAGGAAGAUAAGAAUAUGCAAGAAAAACACAUUUUAAUCAGAUGAUAUUUUUCCUUUAGGUUGCAAUAUAGUAAAUCUUUUUGGAGUGCAAUGCUAUACUCUCUAAAAACAUGAACAUCAUUUAUUUGAAGACACGGUUCUCUGUAGGGUCACUUGCCAUGACUUUAUUUGAGUAUAUUUCUGUGUGCAUGUGGCAGGGAAAACAUUGUUGUUUACUAGAAAUUCACUCUUUUAUCUGAAGAUUGGAGACUACAUAAGACUUUGACAGAUGGCGGGAAACCCUCAUGAACUGGAUAGAAGCCGGUAGAGGAAUGUCUGCGACUAAGCCGAGGGCCACUGGAUAAGGGUUGUUGAUGGUAAAACAGGUAGAGGAAUGUCUGCGACUAAGCCGAGGGCCACUGGAUAAGGGUUGUUGAUGGUAAAACAGGUAGAGGAAUGUCUGCGACUAAGCCGAGGGCCACUGGAUAAGGGUUGUUGAUGGUAAAACAGGUAGAGGAAUGUCUGCGACUAAGCCGAGGGCCACUGGAUAAGGGUUGUUGAUGGUAAAACAGAUUGGAGACUACAUAAGACUUUGACAGAUGGCGGGAAACCCUCAUGAACUGGAUAGAAGCCGGU
Long non-coding RNA from Dreissena polymorpha, 1178 nucleotides. RefSeq lists it as uncharacterized. The record is from RefSeq and is a predicted model, not a curated record. The transcript has 6 exons. NCBI's taxonomy places the organism in Eukaryota, Metazoa, Mollusca, Bivalvia, Myida, Dreissenidae.